Molecule: ribosomal RNA, 748 nt
Filed under: uncultured bacterium
Lineage: Bacteria
Description: bacterial SSU rRNA
Rfam family: Bacterial small subunit ribosomal RNA
Source: RNAcentral
GGAGAGCUUGCUCUCUGGUGGCGAGUGGCGAACGGGUGAGUAAUAUAUCGGAACGUGUCCAAUAAUGGGGGAUAACGAGUCGAAAGAUUCGCUAAUACCGCAUACGCCCUACGGGGGAAAGCAGGGGAUCGUAAGACCUUGCGUUAAUGGAGCGGCCGAUAUCUGAUUAGCUUGUUGGUGAGGUAAAGGCUCACCAAGGCGACGAUCAGUAGCUGGUUUGAGAGAACGACCAGCCACACUGGAACUGAGACACGGUCCAGACUCCUACGGGAGGCAGCAGUGGGGAAUUUUGGACAAUGGGGGCAACCCUGAUCCAGCCAUCCCGCGUGAGUGAAGAAGGCCUUCGGGUUGUAAAGCUCUUUCGCAAGGGAAGAAAACUUAUGAUCGAAUAAAUCAUGAGGUUGACGGUACCUUGAUAAGAAGCACCGGCUAACUACGUGCCAGCAGCCGCGGUAAUACGUAGGGUGCGAGCGUUAAUCGGAAUUACUGGGCGUAAAGCGUGCGCAGGCGGUUUUGUAAGUCGGAUGUGAAAUCCCCGGGCUCAACCUGGGAACUGCGUUCGAAACUGCAAGGCUAGAGUGUGUCAGAGGGGGGUAGAAUUCCACGUGUAGCAGUGAAAUGCGUAGAGAUGUGGAGGAAUACCAAUGGCGAAGGCAGCCCCCUGGGAUAACACUGACGCUCAUGCACGAAAGCGUGGGGAGCAAACAGGAUUAGAUACCCUGGUAGUCCACGCCCUAAACGAUGUCAA